GAUGAACGCUGACAGAAUGCUUAACACAUGCAAGUCUACUUGAACUUCGGUUUGGGUGGCGGACGGGUGAGUAACGCGUAAAGAACUUGCCUCACAGAUAGGGACAACAUUUGGAAACGAAUGCUAAUACCUGAUAUUAUGAUUUUAGGGCAUCCUAGAAUUAUGAAAGCUAUAUGCACUGUGAGAGAGCUUUGCGUCCCAUUAGCUAGUUGGAAAGGUAACGGCUCACCAAGGCGAUGAUGGGUAGCCGGCCUGAGAGGGUGAUCGGCCACAAGGGGACUGAGACACGGCCCUUACUCCUACGGGAGGCAGCAGUGGGGAAUAUUGGACAAUGGACCAAGAGUCUGAUCCAGCAAUUCUGUGUGCACGAUGAAGUUUUUCGGAAUGUAAAGUGCUUUCAGUUGGGAAGAAAAAAAUGACGGUACCAACAGAAGAAGUGACGGCUAAAUACGUG
RNAcentral lists this ribosomal RNA (454 nucleotides) under uncultured bacterium. Its description in RNAcentral is "partial 16S ribosomal RNA". It matches the Rfam family "Bacterial small subunit ribosomal RNA", at positions 28 to 507 of the family's 1533-position model. The record is from RNAcentral.